AUAAAUCUCUACCCAAGAACUGGAGUCACAUGCUCACGAAUAUCUAAGAAUACUAAAUACAAAGUUUGAAAGAAACAUAAAUCUGUUUAUCUCGAAUACAAGGAGAUGAAAGUCUAAAGUAAGAACAGAGGAGACGCCAGGACUGCGGAGGCCUACAAGGCUACCUCGGAUCUCACUACGCUAAAAGUCUGCUCCCAUGCUACUGCUGUUGCUGCUCGAAACCUGGAUCUGUGAAAAAUAGCACAGUGUAGUAUCAGCACAACCGAUCCCAUGUGCUGGUAAGUGUCUAGCCUAACCCUGAAGAAGUAGUGACGAGGCUAGAAUGGACUACCACAUAAACCUGUUCAAUUAUAAAUAUGCAGCAUAAUCAAAAUACAAGACAGGUGAACAAUAUGGGAGGGGAAUCAUACUGUGGGGAGACAACAGUUUCAAGUAAAAUUUGACUAACAUGAAGGAAAAGCACAAUUCAUACAACACUAAGGAACAGAUCGAUAAGUGCACGGCAUCACUCUUCGUGAUUUUACUCCCAUCCUCACCAAGCAAAGGUAUAACAAACAUGCACGACAUCACCCUUCGUGAUUUUACUCUCAUUCCUCACAUAUAUAUAACCAAUGAAUAUCAGUAUGGAAUGGCACAUCUAUGCCACAGCAUCACUCUUUGGGUUUUUACUCUCAUUUUCUCACAUAUUUAUAAUCAAUGAAUAUCAGUACGGAAUGGCACAUCGUACGACACGUCAUCACCUUUCGUGCUUUACACUCUUUCCUCACAAUAUCAAACAAUGCACGGCAUCACCCUUCGUGCUUUAAUACUCUUCCUCACCCAAUCAACAAUCACAGAUAAGGGAAAGGAAAUAAAUAAAUAAUAAUGAAAAUCCCGGCAAGGGAACACAAACAAGUAAUUAACAACCCGGCAAUGGUACAACAUCAAUAAUCUCGACGUCCCGAUAAGGGAAAAUAUUCAAUAAUUAACAAUGCCCCGGCAAGGGAAAAUAUUAUUAAAUCUUUCUCUUCCUUCCACUUUCAUCUCAUAGUUCACAUUAUUACUUGAGCCAAUGCUCCAAAGAUUUACUUAUCCCGUAUACCUUCACAAUAUGUAUUUCAACUCGAGCCAACGCUUCACGAAGUUUAAAGAUCACAAUCCCUUUCACAAGCUCUUUACAACAUAUAGAAGUCAUCAAUCAAGCAUGGAAGGUAUAACAAAAUCCAAACUAUUCGCAUAAUAAAGACUCACGGUCAAGCUAGACACUAUAUGUAUAGAUACUCGUCACUAUGCCUUUGCGUCGUACUCAGCAAUUAGCAAGUAACAUAUAAGACUCAACUCAUAUUCCCUCAAGUUAGGGUUAAACCAAAAACUUACCUCAACUUCCACGGCCGAAUCAAUAUACAAUAACUGCCUUCCCUCUUGAAUUCGGCUCCAACUCAACCAAAUCUAUACAUAAUGACUUCAUAAUAUCAAUAUGUGCUAAACAAAUCAAACCCAAUAUCUAGUUAUUGAUUCCCAAGCUUUCUUUCCAAAAUUUCAAAAAUUGAUCCCGGGCUCGCUUGGUCACAACACAAGGUUCGGACCAAAUUCAUAUUAUUCAUUCCCCCACGAGCCCGAAUAUAUAAUUUAUUUUGAAAUCGGACCUCAAAUUGAGGUCCAAAUCUUCAAUUUUAGCAAAACUUAGGUUUUACCUAACAUACCCAAAUUUUUCCAUUAAAAUCUUUGAUUUGAAGUUGAAAUUAUGUUAAAAGAUGUUAAGGAGUGAAGAAAAUAAGUUAGAAAUUAUUUACCAAGCACUUUGAAGAAGAAGAAUCGUUUGGGAAAUCGCCUCUUAUGUUUUGGGUUUUUGAAAAGUGAAAAUUAUCUGAAAUUUCCAUGCAUUUAUACCCUCUGAAGUCCCCAGAAUGGACCGUGCAAAAAGGAACGCGGUCGCCCCAACCUGCCUGAAGACCUGCAGGUUCUAGCCCUGCGCGGACUGCGCAAAGCCAAUCGGAGCACCCACCACGGACUGCGCAAAGGCGAUCGCGGCCGCACUGGCCCCUACGGGGCUGUACGCAAUUUUAUCGCGGACCGCGCUCGGAGGGUUCAGACUCUGCAACAUUUUCCUGAACCUGCAACAGCUGAUAUUUUAAGCCUAAGAUAUUUCAGAACCUACUCGAAACUCACCCGAGCUCUCGGGGCUCCAAACCAAACAUACAAAUCACCUCAAACCAUCCUACGGACUUAUCCGUCGAUCAAAUCACUAAUAUAACAUCUUAAAUAAUGAAUCAAACCUCAAAGUCACUAAUUUUUCUUCAAACUUCAUAAACUUUCAAAUUUGGAGUUUUAAGUCUGAAACACGUCAAAUGACGUCCGAUUUCAACCAAACUUCAAAGAAAUAUCUUAAAACACAUAUAAGACCUGUACCGUGUGCCGGAACCAAAAUACGGGUCCGAUACCAACACAUUCUAAUUAAUUUUCUUUUCAAAUUUCCUUAAUAAUUUCAGAAAAAUAAUUUCUUUAAAAUUCAUUUCUCGGGCUCGGGACCUCGGAUUUCGAUUUCGGGCAUACGCCCGAGUCCAAUAUUUUCCUACGGACCUUUUGGGACCGUCAAAUCAUGGGUCCGGAUCAUUUUACCCAAAAUAUUAAUCGAAGUCAAAUUUAUUCAAUUUAAUAUCAAAUUUUAAUAUUUUUCUCACAGAAUUCAUAUUUAAGCUUUCCGAUUAUGUGCCCGAAUUGUGCACGAAAAUCAAUGCAAUCCUAAAUAAAGUUUUCAAGGUCUUGAAAGCACGAAAUGAAAAAGAAAGCAGGUGCACAGUUCACUCUGCUCAAAAGAUCACCAAAGAUUCCUCCGCAACAAUUAAAGAGCUAUGAUAUCUUAAGCCUAGUUAGCUCUUGAAAUAGAGUGAUAUUCAACAUCGAAUUCAAGAUCUAGAGUAUUCAAGAUAAAUAUUAUGUUAUAUUAUGUAUAUAUUUUUUAAAUUUCAAAUCAAAAACAAAAGAGUUCAGUCAAACUUUAUAAACCCGCACUAAAUCUACCUCAAAGAAAUUUUCAUAGGCCAGGCAAGCGCUAUUUCUCAAAUUAAAAUCAUAUAUAUGUGGAUAUAAUUUUGCAUUGUGUAUUUAGAAUUAGAACUGGAUAUUGCCAGAGUACCAAAGGAAAAAGGUUUCUAAAGAAAAUCGAAUAUGACCAAUUAUUUUGAGUUGAAAUGAUAUUAAUAGUACAUAUUCUUUUAUAAUCUACGUAUGCACGUUUUCAAGUGAAAGAUAAUAACAGCGUAUUAGAAUAAGAAAUAGUAACAUAAAACGAAAUAUUUUGACUUGAGAUUUUUCUAAAUAUUGUAUUGCCAAGAAAACUCAUAAAUUAAGAGGAGUAUAUGAAAUGAUAGCAGUGUGCCUAUAUAUAAAGUCAAUACUCAGCGAGGGAGGAUAUAGAAAAUAGUUUAGCAACACACAAAAAAAUGAAAUAUUAGAAAAUAAUUGUCCCAGUUUGCUAGGAAGGCAAACAACCCGUUUGGAUUGACUUUAUUAAGGUGAGUUUACAGCAAAAAUAGCUUUUAAGCCCAAAAAAAGUUUUUAAGCCCAAAAAAAUAAGUUGGGAUCGUUCAAUUUACUAUUUUUGGCUUGAUUUAAGCAAUUUUAAAUUUACUUUUAAGUAUUUUUUAAUUUUGUCAAAUACUAAAAAAAUUUAAAAAGAGUUUAAAAGCUUAUUUGAUCCGCUUAAAAACCGAUCCAAAUACCUUUAAAAUUGUGGUCGUUAUGUUGUAUUUUAAAAAAUAUUGUACGAACUUUAUAAGCUAUUUAAUGGUUGGUAGGUUUUUUAUAUGAAUUGAUAUGUCUUGAAACUGAAGAAUUGUGUUGGUUACUACUUACUUCUAUAUUAGAAAACUAGAUAGCUUUUGCUCGUGCAAAGCCAGGCCCAAAAUUUCAUACUUUUAGGUAGUUUGUUCUUUUUUAAAAUUCUUGAUUUGGUUUAAGUAUUAAUAAAUAUUAUUUAAAAAAUUGAUGAUUUUAUAAAUGCAUAUCUUGACAUGAUUGGCCGUUGCUUUCAACCAAUAUACUCCCAUAACAUGAAAGUCAAGUAAAUGUAACCUGUGGUGACAACUAAAUAUGUACCUUAAAAUUUGGACUGUAAAAUAACUUCAAACGUCUCAAACAUCAUUUAUUUAGAAGAUAGUGUUAUUAAAAAGUCACAAACAUGAAGAUAAAAAACUUAAAAAGUCUAAUGAGACCAUAUAAAUCAAACGUCUCAAACUUUAAGAUGCAAAAAAUUGAGGAAAUGUAAUGCUUAGGGAAACAACAAAAAAAAUGAAGCAUUGUGCUAGCAAUCAUAGAAAUGACACAAAAUUUGAAGAAGUCUGAUGCUUAUGAAAACAAAGAAUGAAUCAAUUUACUUCUCAACUAUAGAAGUCAACCACCAAGUUAUGUCACAUAAGCUUGAAUUUAGGAAAUCAAUCUGAAUUAGUGAAUAAUGACAAAUCAUAUUUAGCUGAGACAAUAAAGGGACAUUCACAUGCAAUGACAAUAUAAGUAAGAAACACUUAAAAUGCAUUUUAUUUUCACAAUGGGUGGAGAAUUGCCAAGCUUGGGAAGAAUUGUAUCAUUUGAAUCGGUUAGCAUCGAAGUUGAAAAUCUUUUGUUUUCAUAAUAAGCUAAUCUCCUUUAGUAUUUUGUACCAUCACCUAUAUACUUAUUCAAAUUCCUGCAUAUUAAAAGUAUAGUAACAUUAAAAUCUUGAACUUUUUCGAAUAGUAGAAGCUAAAUACUUUAAUACUUCAUUAUGAAAUAACAUAUAAUUCCUUCAAAGAAGAGAUUUGGUGCAAGUAUUCAAAAAAAUCCAUUUAGGAAGCAUAAUAAACGUUACUUCAAAAGAGAAAGUGGAAAUGAAAAUUAGAGGUUCUACUGAUAUGUUCCAAAAUAUAUUAAAAAAAUUGAAUUCCAUUGCAACCAAACAAAUAUACAGAAAAUACACAAACUACAUCAAUAGAUGACACCUCUUUGCAACUUCUCAAGAACGAUUAAAAUGACGCAAUAAAUGCAAUCAUCUUGAAAAAUCCCAAUCAAAUAAUAAUAAUAGAAUGACUCAACAACAUAAUAAGUAACAGAAAGAUGAAUAAAUUUUCUCAAUUAACAAAAUCAAACUUUUGUAUCUAGUAUUUUUGGUGAAUCUUGCUUUGAGGAUAAAGUUGUAACUAUAUGAUUUCGCUCUCGUUGCUACCAUGCUAAAAGCUAAGAAAUUUUAAGAAGAAAUUUAAAAAAGGGAAGAAUUUUAGUAUCUUGAAAGAAAAAAAUCGUCUUUGAAGAGCUGCAGAAGAGAUAUAAGUUUCUAUUUCGCGUAAGUUUGCCCAUUUGAAUUUACUGUCAAAUGGACAUAUAACUGUAAAACUACUUUGCAGAGAACUACUUGCUCUUUCUAUCUCCAUUACUUGAACACUGUAAUGGUGGCCAUAUUGUCUCAUUUUCUUUCUUAUAUCAUAUUGCUGAACACAUAUAUAUUAUGUCAAAGAUAACCAAACAACAAAGAAGCUAACUUCCAGUUAAGUGACGAAUUAGUAUCGAAUAUCAACUAUGUAUAUAAAUUAUAAUAAAAUAUAAGAGACGAACGCGAUGGACAAAGUAUAAUAAUUAGCAUAGCAAAAAAAAUGAAACCAUUAUACAGCUAUUAGCGAAAUCAUAACCUGUUUCGAGCUAGCAAGUUUAAAGCUAACAUCAACCCUUAACAUGCACGGGCAGAGAUGGAAAAAUGUUCAGAGUUGGUGGUCCUAUUCCAGAUUUCUUUGUAACUUCUCAAGAACGAAAGAUUUCAUAUUUCUGACAGGUCGGCUAUUUUAGCUCUUUGGAAAAAAACUGCAUCAAAAAGAUGGGAAAAUAAAUAUAUAUCCCCACUGCUACAUCCAUCAACUUAAAUAAACAACCUCAUUUCGAUUACUUUUUUUUUAUAUAACAAUCUAAUAUCCGAAAAGACAAUCGUACACUGUGUCUAUAACAGUUUUGCCAAUUAAUCUUUGGUGAUUCUAGCAUUCUAGAGGACCUUAUGUUGUUUCAUCUCAGCUCAUCAAGUUUAGCACUUGCGAAAUUUAACUUGAACUCCAAAGGUAUACCUGCUGUUUUUGUUUGAUUCCAACAAUUUAAUUUAUAAUUUCGCUGUUCUAAUCUCAGCUUUGAGAUUUAUGAUAGCAUACAUGUGCUGAUACAUCAGAUUUCUUGUUAUAGUCCACCAAAUUCAAUUUCAAGCAAGAAUUUCGACUCUCCUAGAUUUUUUAUCUUGAAAUUUUGGUGUAUUACCUCUUAGCUUCUUCAACUAUUCUGUUAUUGUUCGUGUGGUCAAUAAGUUAUUGACAUAUAAGGAUCACAAGUUCACAACUAUAUUAUUGCCAUGCCUAGUAAACAAAAAGCAGUAUAAGAAAUAAAUCUCUCAAAAAAUAUAAGUGACAUUACUAUAUUAUUUCCAUAACUUAGAUGAACAUUUAAUUAUAUAAAUUCCAAGAGUAUAAAUUUGUUUUUUCAUUACCAAAGGAUUAAUUAAACUGGUAUAUUAAAAUUGAGCAAAAAAGAAACUUUCAUUUGAAAUUCACAUCAUAAAGCAGUAUAAUAAAAAGUGUCUACGAAAAUAAAGAAUAUAUGUCACUAUAGAAUAACAACAACUAAGAAAAUUCACCCACAAAAUAGAAAAUUGUUAAGAAAUCUCAAACAAAAAAUAAAAGAAGAAGAAAAAGAGAUAAGACAGAGAAAGAAAGAAGAUGAUUUAAGCAAAAAACCGAGAGAAAAUCAUACCUGAAAUGGUAUUCUUCAAAUUCUGAAGAAGAAGAACUCAAAGGUCGAAGUUAUGAUGGAACAGAGGAGAGAUGUUUCUAGACACUCGUUUGUGUCGAAAUAACGAGCAUUGAUAAAAUUAGAAGUAGAGAAAAAAUAAAAUGACAAGAUAAAAUGAUAAUUUUGCUAUUAAUCGACCAAUUUUUCUUUUCUAUAUAAUAGAUUAGAAAUAUAUAGAUAGAAAAAUGAUGGAAUUGGAGAAUUUUAAAAAG
RNAcentral lists this long non-coding RNA (6986 nucleotides) under Nicotiana benthamiana. RNAcentral describes it as "long non-coding RNA (NBEN_LNC032285)". The record is from RNAcentral. Lineage: Eukaryota; Viridiplantae; Streptophyta; Magnoliopsida; Solanales; Solanaceae.